AGUGAACGCUGGCGGUAGGCCUAACACAUGCAAGUCGAACGGCAGCACAGUAAGAGCUUGCUCUUACGGGUGGCGAGUGGCGGACGGGUGAGGAAUACAUCGGAAUCUACUUUUUCGUGGGUGAUAACGUAGGGAAACUUACGCUAAUACCGCAUACGACCUACGGGUGAAAGCAUGGGAUCUUCGGACCUUUCGCGAUUGAAUGAGCCGAUGUCGGAUUAGCUAGUUGGCGGGGUAAAGGCCCACCAAGGCGACGAUCCGUAGCUGGUCUGAGAGGAUGAUCAGAGACACUGGAACGGAGACACGGACCAGAAUACUACGGGAGGCAGCAGUGGGGAAUAUUGGACAAUGGGCGAAAGCAUGAUACAGCAAUACCGCGUGGGUGAAGAAGGCCUUCGGGUUGUAAAGACCUUUUGUUGGGAAAGAAAAGCAGCAGGUUAAUACCCCGCUGUUAUGACGGUACCCAAAGAAUAAGCACCGGCUAACUUCGUG
This 492-nucleotide ribosomal RNA is filed under the name uncultured bacterium. RNAcentral describes it as "partial 16S ribosomal RNA". It matches the Rfam family "Bacterial small subunit ribosomal RNA", at positions 29 to 507 of the family's 1533-position model. The record is from RNAcentral.